This is an unclassified non-coding RNA of Aotus nancymaae (Ma's night monkey), 299 nucleotides long. It matches the Rfam family "Metazoan signal recognition particle RNA". From Rfam's summary of the family: The signal recognition particle (SRP) is a universally conserved ribonucleoprotein. It is involved in the co-translational targeting of proteins to membranes. The eukaryotic SRP consists of a 300-nucleotide 7S RNA and six proteins: SRPs 72, 68, 54, 19, 14, and 9. NCBI's taxonomy places the organism in Eukaryota, Metazoa, Chordata, Mammalia, Primates, Aotidae. The record is from Ensembl.
GCCGGGCGCGGUGGCGCGUGCCUGUAGUCCCAGCUACUCGGGAGGCUGAGGUGAGAGGAUCGCUUGAGCCCAGGAGUUUUGGGCUGUAGUGUGCUGUGCCGAUUGGAUGUCCACACUAAGUUCGGCAUCAAUAUGGUGACCUCCCGGGAGCGGGGGACCACCAGGUUGCCUAAGGAGGGGUGAACCGGCCCAGGUCGGAAAUGGAGCAGGUCAAAACUCCCGUGCUGAUCAGUAGUGGGAUUGCGCCUCUAAAUAGCCACUGCACUUCAGCCUGGGCAACAUAGUGAGACCCUGUCUCU